GGGGGCUAGUCCGCCGCGAAACGCGAGGCCGGGAGGAGAGGCCGCGGUUAAGGGUGCUUCGACUGGGGAAUAAAAACUGAAGGCUUUGGCGCCCGUUUAUUGAGCAUUUACCAUAUGUCAUUGUUAAACACAUCGAGCGGAUUUUCUCAUUCAGGAUUUUCUCAUUCAACUGCCCAGCAGACCUUCGGGAGAACCCUGACUUCCUAACAGGGAUGGAAUGACCCACAGCACCUGACCACAGGGCCAGGAGGCAGCAACCAUCUGUGAGUAGCAGAAUUAAGUGGAUGGGUGGGUGGAUGUCAGUCAGGUUUGAUCUGGAAUGCCUUAGAGGCCCUGUUGCCCUUCCACCUGCCUUUAGUGGAUUAGCAGUCUGAAUUUCUGGGCAUGGGAAAGUUAGAACAGCUACCACAUUUAUCUCCUCCUGUGCUCACCCAACAGCUUUCUCUUCUCUCCUCAGUGAGCUCCUCUUGCUUGGCAGCAUGCUGGAGACACCACAGGUGUCCUACGCACAAGGAGGAUUUAGGACAGUCUCCUCAUUCUCCCACAAACACAGACCCCUUAGAACCCUCCACACCACUAGCAUCCUCCCAACCCCAGCCCCUGCCAAGCCUCAGCCUCUGGCCACUUCCUUUGCAUGUAGAUGAGGCCCUAUCUGGGCUGCCUUUGUCCUGGUGGUGGGGUGGGGGGUGUUGAUCAAUAAUUAGUGGCUGGGAGAUCAGGAGUCAGCAGUGGCCCUCCUUUCCAGGACCCACAAAUAAUACUGAUGUAGGAAACAAAGGCAAAAGGAAAAAAUCAAAUUUCUUUAUGGCCUACAGCCCACUGACAAGUCCUUGGAAUAGGCAGAUUGACAUUCCUCUAGGAAUUCAGC
Long non-coding RNA from Mustela erminea (ermine), 868 nucleotides. RefSeq lists it as uncharacterized. Lineage: Eukaryota; Metazoa; Chordata; Mammalia; Carnivora; Mustelidae. The record is from RefSeq and is a predicted model, not a curated record. The transcript is spliced from 3 exons.